Molecule: ribosomal RNA, 393 nt
Filed under: uncultured bacterium
Lineage: Bacteria
Description: partial 16S ribosomal RNA
Rfam family: Bacterial small subunit ribosomal RNA
Source: RNAcentral
AUACGGAGGAUCCAAGCGUUAUCCGGAUUUAUUGGGUUUAAAGGGUGCGCAGGCGGAAGAUUAAGUCGGCGGUGAAAUUUUGUAGCUCAACUGUAAAAGUGCCAUCGAUACUGGUUUUCUUGAGUGUGGAUGAAGUAGGCGGAAUUUGUGGUGUAGCGGUGAAGUGCAUAGAUAUCACGAGGAACUCCGAUUGCGCAGGCAGCUUACUAGGCCAUAACUGACGCUCAGGCACGAAGGCGUGGGGAUCAAACAGGAUUAGAUACCCUGGUAGUCCACGCAGUAAACGAUGAUUACUCGCUGUUUGCGAUACACAGUAAGCGGCUUAGCGAAAGCGUUAAGUAAUCCACCUGGGGAGUACGUUCGCAAGAAUGAAACUCAAAUGAAUUGACGGGG